Long non-coding RNA from Oreochromis niloticus (Nile tilapia), 1337 nucleotides. RefSeq lists it as uncharacterized. Lineage: Eukaryota; Metazoa; Chordata; Actinopteri; Cichliformes; Cichlidae. The transcript is spliced from 3 exons. The record is from RefSeq and is a predicted model, not a curated record.
CACAACAGCCCACAAAGCCUCCUUCCUCAGCUACACUUUUGCCAAACAUGAAUGAAGUGUGUGCUAAAUGCACAGCAACUAUAGGAGCGCUGUUACUGGGUUUGUCAGUACAGAACAAAAGGUCGGAAGAUUAUCUCAGAAGACAAACACAAAGUAGUUUCCACUGGGUUUGUUUCAGGAAGGACAAACUUGUAAUAAAAAUCAUUAAAAAGAGGUCAGGAGCCUGGACAUCCUAGUAAGGUAUCCUGGCACACCAGACUUGGAGGACACCCCAGGAUAGAGCCCUUAUCAGGCCUGGGAAUACCUCGGGAUCCCCCAGGUGGAACGGGACAGUGUUGUCGGGAAUACCCUGCUUAGCUUGUUGCCACUGUGAGAAGAUAGUGGAUGGAGAAAUUAUAUUUUAUUACAGCGAUUUGUAUUUAACAGAACAAACAAAGUUGGACGAGCUCUUCUGAGAGGACUGAAAAAAAAAAAUCUGCCACUUCACUAUCUGGGAGAUAAGUGCAGCUGUGAACAUGCUGCUGUCAGCUUUUGUUCAGAGUUUAAGAUCUGAAGAUUGAAGCUUUUUUCAACCGCAAAGUCCUGAUUCAGCGAGAAGGGUGGCCGUCCCGUCAGAAGAGCCCCGCUGAUCGUCGAGUACCAUAGCAAGAAAAAAGGAAACCUCCAGCGACAAAGACUUUCAUCAGCUGUCCUGCAGAGAGAACGAGACAAUUAUUCAUUAAUGAAUCUGCUCACAAACACAACAGUUUCUGUUUUAUUUCCAGACAAAAAUGUGAAAUAAGAAAAGCAAAUAUUCUUGCCACAUGCUGAUGAGAAUUCAGCAAAUAUGUGAAUGAAAUUUCUCUUAAAGCUGGAAAUUCAUAAUGACAUUCGUAUUGAUGGAGUUGGCACUAAUACACUUGAUUUUCUAUCUCAUUUCAAAGUAUAAGUAAAAUUAUUCCUAAUCUAAUUACAGCAUACGUGUGAGCGAUGUCCCCCAAUGGCAACAAGGGAAUACGGAUAUAGAGUAGAAAAUGUUCCUUACCCUACAGUCACGUCAUCAGGUUAAUUAUGUUCGCUGAGAAUUUAUCAUGUAAUUUGACUUAGUUUCAAUUAAAAUCCCACCUCCUAAAUGUUCCCAUUUCCCGUCUUCUUUGGCUGAUCUGAAAUGUAUUAUUUAAUUCCUCUGAGCGCCUGUUUCUCUGUGUCCAGAGGAGACAUGAAGGUUUUUUACUGUUUGCUGGGCAGGCAGCACUCAGGGCUCCGAGUGAGUAGCUAAUCCACCAGCUAUAAAGGUCUGGGUAACCUUUCUAACACAAUUUCACAAAAGACUGCUCUGUUUGUUCUGCUUGUAGAAA